This 256-nucleotide ribosomal RNA is filed under the name uncultured bacterium. Its description in RNAcentral is "partial 16S ribosomal RNA". It matches the Rfam family "Bacterial small subunit ribosomal RNA", at positions 29 to 314 of the family's 1533-position model. The record is from RNAcentral.
AACGAACGCUGGCGGCAGGCCUAACACAUGCAAGUCGAACGCCCCGCAAGGGGAGUGGCAGACGGGUGAGUAACGCGUGGGAACCUACCUUACGGUCGGGAAUAGCUCAGGGAAACUUGAGGUAAUACCGGAUACGCCCUUACGGGGAAGGAUUUAUCGCCGUUAGAUGGGCCCGCGUCGGAUUAGCUAGUUGGUGAGGUAACGGCUCACCAAGGCGACGAUCCGUAGCUGGUCUGAGAGGAUGANCAGCCACACU